Molecule: ribosomal RNA, 253 nt
Filed under: uncultured bacterium
Lineage: Bacteria
Description: partial 16S ribosomal RNA
Rfam family: Bacterial small subunit ribosomal RNA
Source: RNAcentral
UACGUAGGGGGCAAGCGUUGUCCGGAAUCAUUGGGCGUAAAGCGCGUGUAGGCGGCCAUCUAAGUUUGGUGUGAAAGCCCAGGGCUUAACCCUGGAAGUGCACUGAAUACUGGAAGGCUAGAGGAUAAGAGGGGAGAUUGGAAUUCAUGGUGUAGGGGUGAAAUCCGUAGAUAUCAUGAGGAACAUCAGUGGCGAAGGCGAAUCUCUGGCUUAUUUCUGACGCUGAGACGCGAAAGCGUGGGGAGCAAACAGG